AUAGGUAUUGGCAAGGGAGAUACCAUGAUCAUGAAAGUGGUUCUCCCAGGGUGAGGCUCAUCCAUUCCACCGCAGGUGUGCUGACCCCUGCGAUUUCCCCAAAUGCGGGAAACUCGACUGCAUAAUUUGUGGUAGUGGGGGAUUGCAUUUGCACUUUCCCCUG
This 163-nucleotide small nuclear RNA is filed under the name Gopherus evgoodei (Goodes thornscrub tortoise). Its description in RNAcentral is "U1 spliceosomal RNA (ENSGEVG00005016306.1)". It matches the Rfam family "U1 spliceosomal RNA". From Rfam's summary of the family: U1 is a small nuclear RNA (snRNA) component of the spliceosome (involved in pre-mRNA splicing). Its 5' end forms complementary base pairs with the 5' splice junction, thus defining the 5' donor site of an intron. There are significant differences in sequence and secondary structure between metazoan and yeast U1 snRNAs, the latter being much longer (568 nucleotides as compared to 164 nucleotides in human). Lineage: Eukaryota; Metazoa; Chordata; Testudines; Testudinidae. The record is from Rfam by way of RNAcentral.